GACGAACGCUGGCGGCGUGCUUAAUACAUGCAAGUCGAACGGAAAGGCCCUGCUUUUGUGCCGUUCUCGAUUGCCGAACGGGUGAGUAACACGUGAGUAACCUGCCCUUGACUUUCGGAUAACUUUAGGAAACUCGGGCUAAUACCGGAUAUGAUCUCCUGCUCCAUGGUGGUCGAUGGAAAGUUACGGCUGUUCGGUCUGUACUCGCUGCUUAUCGGCUUGUUUGUGGAGUGGUGGCUUUCCAAGGCUUUGACGGGUACGCUGCCUGAGAGGGUGACAGGCGAAAUUGGGACUGACAUACGGCAGAGGGUGCUACGGGAGGGAGAAGUGGGGAAUCUUGAACAAUGGGCGGAAGCCUGAUGAAGCAGCGCCGCGUGCGGGAAAACGGCCUUAGGGUUGUAAACCGCUUUCGCCUGUGACGAAGCGUGAGUGACGGUAAUGGGUAAAGAAGACCCGGCUAACUAAGUG
RNAcentral lists this ribosomal RNA (468 nucleotides) under uncultured bacterium. RNAcentral describes it as "partial 16S ribosomal RNA". It matches the Rfam family "Bacterial small subunit ribosomal RNA", at positions 28 to 507 of the family's 1533-position model. The record is from RNAcentral.